CCUACGGGUGGCAGCAGUGAGGAAUAUUGGGCAAUGGGCGCGAGCCUGAACCAGCCAAGUAGCGUGAAGGAUGACAGCCCUACGGGUUGUAAAGUUCUGUUAUAAAGGAAGAAAGUGAGGCACGUGUGCCUUUUUGUAUGUACUUUAUGAAUAAGGAUCGGCUAACUCCGUGCCAGCAUCCGCGGUAAGACGGAGGAAGCGAGCGUGAGCCGGAUGGAAUUGGUUGAAUGGGAGCGUAGAUGGGUUGUUAAGUCAGUUGUGACAGUUUGCGGCUCAACCGUAAAAUUGCAAUUGAUACUGGCAGUCUUGAGUACAGUUGAGGUAGGCGGAAUUCGUGGUGUAGCGGUGAACUGCUUAGAUAUCACGAAGAACUCCGAUUGCGCAGGCAGUUCACUGGACUGCACCUGACACUGAGGCUCGAAAGUGUGUGUAUCAAACAGGAUUAGAUACCCUAGUAGUC
Molecule: ribosomal RNA, 460 nt
Filed under: uncultured bacterium
Lineage: Bacteria
Description: partial 16S ribosomal RNA
Rfam family: Bacterial small subunit ribosomal RNA
Source: RNAcentral